CACGUAGGGUGCGAGCGUUGUCCGGAAUUAUUGGGCGUAAAGAGCUCGUAGGCGGUUUGUCGCGUCUGCCGUGAAAACCUGCAGCUUAACUGUGGGCUUGCGGUCGAUACGGGCAUCACUGGAGUUCGGCAGGGGAGACUGGAAUUCCUGGUGUAGCGGUGAAAUGCGCAGAUAUCAGGAGGAACACCGGUGGCGAAGGCGGGUCUCUGGGCAGAUACUGACGCUGAGGAGCGAAAGCGUGGGGAGCGAACAGG
RNAcentral lists this ribosomal RNA (254 nucleotides) under uncultured bacterium. RNAcentral's name for it is "partial 16S ribosomal RNA". It matches the Rfam family "Bacterial small subunit ribosomal RNA", at positions 524 to 776 of the family's 1533-position model. The record is from RNAcentral.